Molecule: long non-coding RNA, 840 nt
Organism: Mercurialis annua (annual mercury)
Lineage: Eukaryota; Viridiplantae; Streptophyta; Magnoliopsida; Malpighiales; Euphorbiaceae
Exons: 2
Source: RefSeq, a predicted model, not a curated record
AACAUUUACUUUUAUACAGUGCCUUCUUAAUCUUUACAUACACUACAUAUUUAUUUUUCUUUUUUAGACUUAUUUUCUAAAUUCUUUUCUUUCCCACCAUUUUGCCUAUUUUGUUUCUUCUUUGGCAGUUUCUUUUCUGUUCUUCACGUUCUCAUCAAAUCGAUCAACAUAUUGGUUUCACAUAGCAGAUCUGGAUCAAAAGAAUCGCUGAAGCAGCGGAAUGGUGACGACGGUGACAGAACCAUGUGGAAGAAGUAACGGCGGCGGCGGCGGCAAAAUGAUGAGGCGAAAAAAUGGCGGUGUCGGAACGACGAUGAAGGCGGUGGUUGAAUGAUGAUGACGAUAGUAGCUUCUGAUCUGGCUUAUUGUAAAUAGCUAAAUUUCAAAAAGUGUGUGUUUAUGAGAUCAAUGAAGGGGAUCGUGGACCUUUGAAUUCUUGUUUUCAUCAUUUUUGAAAAUUUGAAGGAUAUUUUUAAUAUUCCUGCUGUAAUUUAUGUCCAGCCUGAUGUUGUUCGUGGUCGUCGAGCCGAUGCCCAUGGUCAUCUUGCUGAGUAUUCCGGUGCUGAAAGAACUCAUGUCGCUGCUUUCAUAAGUCCAAAUCCUUUGUUGCACACUGCUCAACUUAUGAAAUUGUUUAUUUGUUUUAUGUUCUUAGAAUUUGAGCUGUUUGUUUGUGGCUCUUAAUUUGUAAGUUUCAUCAUAAAUUGUUGUCACCAAGCUUGUAAUUGGAUAAUGAAAAUCAUGUGCUAAAUAUACUAUAUUCUUAAGGUAUUAUUUUUAAGUAAUCCGUAAUUAUUUGUAUAUGACAUCAUCAAGGAAAUUAGCUUUAUGGCAUUGCAA